Molecule: ribosomal RNA, 305 nt
Filed under: uncultured bacterium
Lineage: Bacteria
Description: bacterial SSU rRNA
Rfam family: Bacterial small subunit ribosomal RNA
Source: RNAcentral
ACCCUACGGAGGCAGCAGUGAGGUAUAUUGGUCAAUGGCCGAGAGGCUGAACCAGCCAAGUCGCGUGAGGGAAGACGGCCCUACGGGUUGUAAACCUCUUUUGUCGGGGAGCAAAGAGAGUCACGUGUGACUCAUUGAGAGUACCCGAAGAAAAAGCAUCGGCUAACUCCGUGCCAGCAGCCGCGGUAAUACGGAGGAUGCGAGCGUUAUCCGGAUUUAUUGGGUUUAAAGGGUGCGCAGGCGGAGGUGCAAGUCAGCGGUCAAAUUGCGGGGCUCAACCCCGUACUGCCGUUGAAACUGCAUCC